GACGAACGCUGGCGGCGUGCUUAACACAUGCAAGUCGAACGGAAAGGCCCCUUUGGUGGUACUCGAGUGGCGCACGGGUGCGUAACACUUGCGUAACCUUCCCUUGACUUCGGGAUAACUUCAGGAAACUGGGGCUAAUACCGGAUAGGAAUCCUUUCUGCAUGGUGGGGGUUGGAAAGCUUCGGCGGUUUUGGCUGGACUCGCUGCUUAUCAGCUUGUUGGUGGGGUAGUGGCUUACCAAGGCUUUGACGGGUAGCCGGCCUGAGAGGGCGACCGGCCACAUUGGGACUGAGGUACGGCCCAGACUCCUACGGGAGGCAGAAGUGGGGAAGAUUGCACAAUGGGCGGAAGCCUGAUGCAGCAACGCCGCGGGCGGGAUGACGGCCUUCGGGUUGUAAACCGCUUUCAGAAGGGGCGAAGCUUGUGGUGACGGUACCUGCAGAAGAAGCACCGGCUAACUACGUG
Molecule: ribosomal RNA, 465 nt
Filed under: uncultured bacterium
Lineage: Bacteria
Description: partial 16S ribosomal RNA
Rfam family: Bacterial small subunit ribosomal RNA
Source: RNAcentral